Molecule: transfer RNA, 62 nt
Filed under: Vagrans egista
Lineage: Eukaryota; Metazoa; Arthropoda; Insecta; Lepidoptera; Nymphalidae
Description: tRNA-Cys
Source: RNAcentral
AGUCUUAUAUUCAAAUAUGAUUUAAAAUUGCAAAUUUUAAGGUGUAAAAUUUACUAAGGCUU